This 3102-nucleotide long non-coding RNA is filed under the name Actinia tenebrosa (Australian red waratah sea anemone). RNAcentral describes it as "uncharacterized LOC116307283". Lineage: Eukaryota; Metazoa; Cnidaria; Anthozoa; Actiniaria; Actiniidae. The record is from RNAcentral.
CAAAUACUAGCUAAAAAUAUCGCAUUAUAAUUACAAAUAAUAUCAAAUAGUCUGAUGCUUUUUCAGGUAUUUUCCCAAACACGUUUCCUUAUCAUUCUGUACGCUGAUAUUUUUCGACACAAACCUGUGAUAUUCCCUCCUUUCUUGUUCGUUCAUAGAUAUCGUAGAUUCGACCAAUGAAUUCAUCAGCUUUGAUAGUCCUAAGUAAAUUUAAAAGAAGACUGAAAUUUUGCAAUUAUACAGGUCCAAAUGUACAACAUACUAAAUGAUGGUGAAAUAAUAACAUUCAUUUAACACAUUCAUUUAACUUAAAAAGACGAAUUCAUCUUGACUCUUUAUAAUGGUUGAAAUAUUUCUUUAUUGCGGUUUUCANUACAUGUAUCUCAACGUCAAAUCAUAGAAGAUAGCCCUUUUCAUAGCUUUGCAGUUAACACUGACAGCUCCCGCAGCAAUGNUUGGCUUCUAAAUUAAUAAUCAGACCUUCAGUAUAUUACAGUGAUAAUUUUAAGGCGCAAGCUCAGGACGUGUAGUGAUCUUCCGAAUGAAAAUGGAUGAGUGCAAAUAUAACUCAACUAGAUGAUACAGAGCUAUAAACGUUACAGAAUUUUCUAUAGAUCUUAAACAUAUUUCCUAUCAAGCUUAGAUUUUAAAACGCUUUAGACCAAACCAUGUCUCGUACCAUAACAUGAAACGUUACAGUUCAAAAGAUAUAACAUAAUUUAUAGGACUCUUGUUGAUAGUAGUAUUUUUGUUACUGAAGGGAAUACCCUGCUUAAAUAAAGGUUUUCAUUCAUUCAUGAUUUGCAUAUCGGUUAUAUUGUAAGAAUUAAGAGCCCGUCAUGCGAUAUCUGUCUUGUUAAGAUUUCAUUUCACCCACGUCUCGUUCAUACAGAUGUUUUUAAAUGACUUCCAAGUGACUUGCAAGUACAAUUAUCUUCAGACACUGCUUUUUAAUGUCCGUGUUAGUAUAUAUUUUUGCACUGAAUUCGCAUUGAAUUUUUAAGGGCACGUGGGCACACGCCAUGACCCAUCUAAGAGUUUUACUUAUAGCUUUUGACUACCGACACUAAAAACGGAUGCGAGGGAGACUUUCUUGAAACCGGUUUUUCUAAAAGGAAAAAUUCACUAAUGGCCAUUGGGAUGUCACAUUUUGUAUAUAAAAAAUGAGGGCCACAAUUUUAUAAGUGUUUCACUUUUAGGUUUUUGGCAGCAGCGGAUGUCAUGCAAAAAUUUUUUUCUUUCACUUUUUCGGUUUGGGAUUGAAAUGAACUGUACCAAGACCACACCGUUUCUUUAAUCCCGUCUGAUUGGCUAUAUUAAUAAUUAUACUAUUUUUUAAUACUACUCACUUACCUUAAGACCUGUGUAUUUAAAGAUGAUAUUGACAAGGNUAGUUAUGUUAACGAAAAUUUCAAAAUCAUAUACAUUACUGACCCUNNUAAAGAUUCUUUCAAGAAUUCGUGGUNUUGGCUCACAUUAUAUACUAAAAUAUUUAAGUCUUCUUGCNCUUGCUUCACCUCAUCGAAGAGUUUCUUCGGAAAAGGAGUAGGGAANAGCAUAAAAGGCGCGUGAUCGAAAUUUCCCGGCGUCUUUUUUGACUGCAGUAAAGCGCCGUUCAUCAAGGCAUAGUCUUUGGAAUUUCUAACCAGAUUGCUCCGACACUCACGAUACCAUUUUUAAUACCAGUCUCUUAGUUCUGGUGCCGUCCCAGAUGACUGGAAGCUAGCAAUCAUUUUACCCGACUACGAAAAGGGCGACAAAGAUCUCAAGAUGAAAACUAUCGAUGUAACUACCAAUUUAACUCUUAUCGAUAGUUUCAAAGGUCCUAGAACGAUGCAUCAUUAGCCGACAUACAAGAUCAUGUACUGGCGUCAAACNAUACACAGCAGGGCUUCUUACCAAGCAGACUAACGCCGUUUAUUUAGACAUGUCAAAAGCCUUUGAUAAAGUGAAUAAAGCUGCCUUGAUCAGGAUCCUUUAUUUAUUGCUUCUAUUCUGUGUUAUUAAUACGAAUCAGGGCAUUUAUAUCUGAUUUGCUAUAUUGUUCGUUUUGUCGUUUCAGGUGAGGUAUAUUGUAACUCAAGCAGAACUNAAGUUAAUCACGAUGAAGUGAAAAUUUUAAAAGGGAGUAGUUAGCAUUGUUUCGGUAAUUGAUAGAUAACGAGGUUGAAAUCACAACAAAUAAGGGACCUUCGUCCAAAGUUGGAAAUAUCAAGCAAUCAUUGGACAAGGUUUAUCAAAAUAUAGGGAUUAGUUAGUGGCCAGCAAUCGAGCAAUUAUUUGCCGAUGAAUGCAGACACUAACGAAUCAAGAUAUCUCGCGAUAACCGAGUUCAGUAAUUGUUUUAUCUUUCAAAUCAUUUUCCCGUUUUCUUUUUGUGCUCUAGUGGUUCUUCAGUGUUAUCUAUCAGCCAUACCAAGUCACAGAUAAGCGAGCCAUGUUGGCAAAUGCAACGUUACUGCGCACGAGCAGACUAUUAUUUGCAGUAAAACGGCCGCCUUGCAUUGUAAUGCGCAAGUACUAUGUCCUUAUUGACUUAGUGGGAGGGCCAUACAUAUACGGGAAAAUAUGAGGCAAAACAUAAGUGCAGGAAGACUUGAAUCCACUUUUCGUAUAAAUGUAAACUAAAAACACGAAUUCCUGAAAGUAUCGCUACGAGCACCAGUAAAUACUCGUUUUGAAAGUUAUGUAGUGUUUAACUUUUAACAAACAUUUUAAACGAGUGUAGUUAUAACUAUAGUAGUCAAAUAUAAAGAAUACUGCUAAAUAUGACCAAUGAAAAUAAAUAAAUAAUAAUGUUACCGAAAGCGAAAUGGCUUUUUGCUUAUUCCAAACCCGCUUUGAAACCCUAUUUAUAUAUAANGUGACUUCGAGUUUCAGUUUCAAACAGAUCACAUCUAUCUAUGAGGCAUAGCUCACCCGACGCCACGCUCCAAAGUUGUUUUUGAUAUAAUGCUCGGAAAUUAUAGUUUGCUGUAUCUGUUGAGCAUGGUCAUCGUUUCUGGAGGUAACAUAUUUUUUUUAGACAGUUAUACGUUGUGUAAUAAACUUUUCUUCAUAGACAUAAAUCAGAGAUUGUUGUAAACUGUAGCCCCAUAAAAA